AUAAGUUAUGUAAGGGCGUAUGGGGGAUGCCUAGGCUCUCAGAGGCGAAGAAGGACGUGAUAAGCUGCGAAAAGUUGCGGGGAUUGGCACAUACGAGUUGAUCCGCAAAUAUCCGAAUGGGGCAACCCAGUAUAUUGAAGAUAUACUACAUCGCAAGAUGAGCAAACCCGCUGAACUGAAACAUCUAAGUAGGCGGAGGAGAAGAAAACAAAAGUGAUUCCCAGAGUAGUGGCGAGCGAAAUGGGAGGAGCCCAAACCAAUAAUGUUUCGGCAUUAUUGGGGUUGUAGGACUGCGAUAUUUGCUGUUUAUUGAAUUAGAAUACUUUGGAAAGAGUAACCACAGAGGGUGAUAGUCCCGUAUAGGCAAGAUAAAUAAGUAAUAGCAGUAUCCUGAGUAGGGCGGGGCACGUGGAACCCUGUCUGAAACUGCCGGGACCAUCCGGUAAGGCUAAAUACUCCUGAGAGACCGAUAGUGGACUAGUACCGUGAGGGAAAGGUGAAAAGCACCGUGAAUAACGGAGUGAAAAAGACCCUGAAACCAUACGCUUACAAGCGGUCGGAGCGGCUUUUAGCCGUAACGGCGUGCCUUUUGCAUAAUGAGCCUACGAGUUACUGUUACCAGCGAGGAUAAGUAUUUCAGAUACGAAUCCGCAUCGAAAGAGAGUCUGAAAAGGGCGCAAAUAGUUGGUAGUAGUAGACGCGAAACCUGGUGAUCUACCCUUGGGCAGGUUGAAGCGCUGGUAACACAGCGUGGAGGACCGAACUGGUUGUCGUUGAAAAGACUUCGGAUGACCUGAGGGUAGGGGUGAAAGGCCAAUCAAACUGGGAAAUAGCUCGUACUCCCCGAAAUGCAUUUAGGUGCAGCGUUGAUGCGAGUUUAAUAGAGGUAGAGCUACUGAUUGGAUGCGGGGGUUUCAUCGCCUACCAAUUCCUGACAAACUCCGAAUGCUAUUAAAUGUUUCACAGCAGUGAGGGCUUGGGUGCUAAGGUCCAAGUCCGAGAGGGAAAGAACCCGGACCAUCAGCUAAGGUCCCCAAAUAUAUGCUAAGUUGACCAAACGCGGUCUGACUGCACUGACAGCUAGGAUGUUGGCUUGGAAGCAGCCAUACAUUUAAAGAGUGCGUAACAGCUCACUAGUCGAGCGGUUGGGCAUGGAUAAUAAACGGGCAUAAGCAUAUUACCGAAGCUAUGGGGUUAUUACUUAAGUAAUAUACCGGUAGGGGAGCAUUCUAUUGGCGUUGAAGCUAAAGGCGUGAGCCAUAGUGGAGCCUGAUAGAAAAGAAAAUGUAGGCAUAAGUAACGAUAAGGCAGGCGAGAAACCUGCCCGCCGAAAGAUCAAGGUUUCCUCAGCUAUGCUAAUCAGCUGAGGGUUAGUCGGGGACUAACGCGCACCCGAGCAGGGGAAGUGGAUGUACAACAGGUUAAUAUUCCUGUACCAUUAAUCUGAUAAAAGUGACGGAACGAGAUAACUACCGCGUACUGACGGAAUAGUACGUUAAAGGAGCAGUUAUAGCUUUGAUAGUACACUGAAGCUUCGGCUGAGGUGAUAGAGUGGUGACAACGUUUCCAAGAAAAGCGAAGAUUAAUGCCCGUACCGUAAACCGACACAGGUGAUUGGGAAGAGAAUUCUAAGGCGCUCGAGAGAUUCAUGGCUAAGGAACUAGGCAAAAUAGACCUGUAACUUCGGGAGAAAGGUCGCCUAUCUAGCGAUAGGCCGCAGUGAAAAGGUCCAAGCGACUGUUUAUCAAAAACACAGGACUCUGCAAAAUCGAAAGAUGAGGUAUAGGGUCUGACACCUGCCCGGUGCUGGAAGGUUAAGAGGAGGGCUUAGCGUAAGCGAAGGUCUGAAUUGAAGCCCCAGUAAACGGCGGCCGUAACUAUAACGGUCCUAAGGUAGCGAAAUUCCUUGUCGGGUAAGUUCCGACCUGCACGAAUGGUGUAACGAUUUGGACACUGUCUCGGCCAUGAGCUCGGUGAAAUUGUAGUAUCGGUGAAGAUGCCGAUUACCCGCAGUGGGACGAAAAGACCCUGUGCACCUUUACUAUAUCUUCGUAUUGGUCUUGGAUAAGUGAUGCGUAGGAUAGGUGGGAGACUUUGAAGCGGCUAUUCUGGUAGUUGUGGAGUCGUUGUUGAAAUACCACCCUUUGCUUAUCUGAGGUCUAACUUUGCUAAAGGCAAAGGACAAUUCGUGGAGGGUAGUUUGACUGGGGUGGUCGCCUCCAAAAG
RNAcentral lists this ribosomal RNA (2226 nucleotides) under human oral metagenome. Its description in RNAcentral is "bacterial LSU rRNA". It matches the Rfam family "Bacterial large subunit ribosomal RNA", at positions 1 to 2295 of the family's 2925-position model. The record is from RNAcentral.